AAGUCAUAACAAGGUUUCUGUAGGUGAACCUGCAGAAGGAUCAUUAGUGAAAUCUGCCUUGACUCUCUGAGUCAUAGGCUCUUCUAUCUAUUAUCCAAACACAAGGCUACGGAAGGGGGUGUCGGUUUGGGCUAACCUGUUCCGGACUUGGUAUGGAGCGUGAGUGUGCUUCGGUGCGCUUGCGAGACCGCCUUGAAUUUUAUAACUCGAAUAUGUGAAAGAAUGAUAAACCUUUAUUGUCUUCGGACAUAAACUAAAUACAACUUUUGACAACGGAUCUCUUGGUUCUCC
Molecule: unclassified non-coding RNA, 291 nt
Filed under: Tilletia sp.
Lineage: Eukaryota; Fungi; Basidiomycota; Exobasidiomycetes; Tilletiales; Tilletiaceae
Description: partial internal transcribed spacer region
Rfam family: Eukaryotic small subunit ribosomal RNA (bases 1-46)
Source: RNAcentral